Molecule: ribosomal RNA, 109 nt
Filed under: Leucorrhinia intacta
Lineage: Eukaryota; Metazoa; Arthropoda; Insecta; Odonata; Libellulidae
Description: 5.8S ribosomal RNA
Rfam family: 5.8S ribosomal RNA
About the family: 5.8S ribosomal RNA (5.8S rRNA) is a component of the large subunit of the eukaryotic ribosome. It is transcribed by RNA polymerase I as part of the 45S precursor that also contains 18S and 28S rRNA. Functionally, it is thought that 5.8S rRNA may be involved in ribosome translocation.
Source: RNAcentral
CGGUGGAUCACUCGGCUCGUGGAUCGAUGAAGAACGCAGCAAACUGCGCGUCGAAGUGUGAACUGCAGGACACAUGAACAUCGACGUUUCUAACGCCCAUUGCGGCCCA